Molecule: transfer RNA, 76 nt
Filed under: Microcaldota archaeon
Lineage: Archaea; Nanobdellati; Microcaldota
Description: tRNA-Gln
Rfam family: tRNA
About the family: Transfer RNA (tRNA) molecules are approximately 80 nucleotides in length.
Source: RNAcentral
AGCCUCCGAGGUGGAUUUUGGUCAAGGAUCCGGGACUCUGGAUCCCGUGACCCCGGUUCGAAUCCGGGCGGGGCUA